This 446-nucleotide ribosomal RNA is filed under the name uncultured bacterium. RNAcentral describes it as "partial 16S ribosomal RNA". It matches the Rfam family "Bacterial small subunit ribosomal RNA", at positions 338 to 795 of the family's 1533-position model. The record is from RNAcentral.
CCUACGGGUGGCAGCAGUCGAGAAUCAUUCACAAUGGGGGAAACCCUGAUGGGGCGACGCCGCGUGGGGGAAUGAAGGUCUUCGGAUUGUAAACCCCUGUCAUGUGGGAGCAAAUUAAAAAGAUAGUACCACAAGAGGAAGAGACGGCUAACUCUGUGCCAGCAGCCGCGGUAAUACAGAGGUCUCAAGCGUUGUUCGGAAUCACUGGGCGUAAAGCGUGCGUAGGCUGUUUCGUAAGUCGUGUGUGAAAGGCGCGGGCUCAACCCGCGGACGGCACAUGAUACUGCGAGACUAGAGUACUGGAGUGGGAACCGGAAUUCUCGGUGUAGCAGUGAAAUGCGUAGAUAUCGAGAGGAACACUCGUGGCGAAGGCGGGUUCCUGGACAUUAACUGACGCUGAGGCACGAAGGCCAGGGGAGCGAAAGGGAUUAGAUACCCUUGUAGUC